Molecule: non-coding RNA, 45 nt
Filed under: Schistosoma haematobium
Lineage: Eukaryota; Metazoa; Platyhelminthes; Trematoda; Strigeidida; Schistosomatidae
Source: RNAcentral
AUCCGGCUGACGAGUCCCAAACAGGACGGAACGCGCGUCCUGGAU